This 614-nucleotide long non-coding RNA is filed under the name Vitis vinifera (wine grape). RNAcentral's name for it is "long non-coding RNA (VVIN_LNC000719)". Lineage: Eukaryota; Viridiplantae; Streptophyta; Magnoliopsida; Vitales; Vitaceae. The record is from RNAcentral.
AAAAGACCCGCCCAUGAGCUCACUCCCCCACCUACCACCGCCCAAACCUCCGCCGCGAAAUGAGACGCAAAAACUAUGUGCGCGCAUUUGUAACCACCCCAGUCCACAACACGUGAAGGCCCCCAGGAGACCGCCUCGUUGACGCCGGGAGUGCGCACAGCGCCCUGUCCCCUUGACCACCACGUGCGAGCUCUAGCUAGCUAGCCUGGGCAUGGUGACUUUGACCGCAACACCCAGAUGCUGAUGAGCUUCCACCACCCUUCCUUCAUAUUUCACCUCCCCACGUUUCCUCCACUUUGCCCCUAUAUCUUUUUCUUUUCCUUUUCCCUUUCCUUUUCUUUUUCGAAUGAGGUGUAAGCAGCGAGAAAGAACUAAGAAGAUGGAUUUUCUUUUGGGUACCGACUACCGACACAGGAUUUGGUCGGGACAAGGGUUUCGUGAGGUCACCUUCGUGAUGAUGGCGGGUUUGAUUCGAUGGGUCGUUUUCUGGUUUUGUAAAAAAUGGAUUAUGAACAUGCAGCACUAUCAUCACUUUCGACUUCUGAGUCGUAUGGUUGGCCCUAAUCUUCCUCUCUCCCACCCACAUUCAACGUCAGGUGUGUGAGAAAUGAGAA